RNAcentral lists this ribosomal RNA (413 nucleotides) under uncultured Rhizophagus. RNAcentral describes it as "partial 28S ribosomal RNA". The record is from RNAcentral. Lineage: Eukaryota; Fungi; Glomeromycota; Glomeromycetes; Glomerales; Glomeraceae.
GAGAGUUAAACAGUACGUGAAAUUGUUGAAAGGGAAACGAUUGAAGCCAGUCGUACCUUCGGGUAAUCAGCCUUUCGGGUGCGAUUCUGUGGAGUUUGAGGAGCUUAACACCUUCAUGCUUUUGCAUAUUCGUGCUCUUGGGUGUACUUGCCCGUGUGGUUGGUUAACAUCAAUUUCGGGCACCAUAAAAUGGCUGGAGGAAUGUAGCUUCGAUCUUGUAUUGAAGUGUUAUAGCCUUCGGUAGAUGUGGUGAUCGAGAUUGAGGAUUGCAACGGAUACCUUUCGGGGCUACCUGUCUGAUCUCUGAUCGUUGCUUUGGUGCUGAAAGCGUGCUUAUAGUUAUUAAAGUCGAUGGUCAAUAGGUUAGAAUGGGUUAAAUUCGUUAAGGAUGUUGACGUAAUGGCUUUAAACGA